UGAGGAAUAUUGGACAAUGGUCGGAAGACUGAUCCAGCCAUGCCGCGUGCAGGAAGACGGCCUUAUGGGUUGUAAACUGCUUUUGCAGGGGAAGAAUAAGGACUACGAGUAGUUUGAUGACGGUACUCUGCGAAUAAGCAUCGGCUAACUCCGUGCCAGCAGCCGCGGUAAUACGGAGGAUGCGGGCGUUAUCCGGAAUCAUUGGGUUUAAAGGGUCCGUAGGCGGGCUAAUAAGUCAGAGGUGAAAGCGCUCAGCUCAACUGAGCAACUGCCUUUGAAACUGUUAGUCUUGAAUGGUUGUGAAGUAGUUGGAAUGUGUAGUGUAGCGGUGAAAUGCUUAGAUAUUACACAGAACACCGAUAGCGAAGGCAUAUUACUAACAAUUAAUUGACGCUGAUGGACGAAAGCGUGGGGAGCGAACAGGAUUAGAUACCCUGGUAGUCCACGCUGUAAACGAUGGAUACUAGCUGUUUGGUUGUUAAGACUGAGUGGCUAAGCGAAAGUGAUAAGUAUCCCACCUGGGGAGUACGCACGCAAGUGUG
Molecule: ribosomal RNA, 542 nt
Filed under: uncultured bacterium
Lineage: Bacteria
Description: bacterial SSU rRNA
Rfam family: Bacterial small subunit ribosomal RNA
Source: RNAcentral